RNAcentral lists this ribosomal RNA (502 nucleotides) under uncultured Hyphomicrobiaceae bacterium. Its description in RNAcentral is "bacterial SSU rRNA". It matches the Rfam family "Bacterial small subunit ribosomal RNA", at positions 1 to 523 of the family's 1533-position model. The record is from RNAcentral. Lineage: Bacteria; Pseudomonadati; Pseudomonadota; Alphaproteobacteria; Hyphomicrobiales; Hyphomicrobiaceae.
CGCCCUUGAGUUUGAUCAUGGCUCAGGACGAACGCUGGCGGCGUGCCUAAAACAUGCAAGUCGAACGCGAUGGCCCUUCGGGGCCUGGGAGUGGCGAACGGCGGAGUAAUACGUAAGCAACGUGCCCUGAAGAUCGGGAUAUACCGGGGAAACCCGGGGCAAUACCGGAUGUGGCCGCGACCCGGCAUCGGGACGCGAUCAAAUGGUUUUUCGCUUCAGGAGCGGCUUACGGCCUAUCAGCUAGUUGGCGGGGUAACGGCCCACCAAGGCUUCGACGGGUAACUGGUCUGAGAGGACGACCAGUCCGAGUGGGACUGAGACACGGCCCACACACCUACGAGUGGCAGCAGUUGGGAAUCUUGCACAAUGGGGGAAACCCUGAUGCAGCGACGCCUUUUUGAGGACGAAGGAUUUAGGUCUGUAAACUCCUUUUGCCAGGAAAGACUUAGGACGGUACCUGGCGAAUAAGCUCCGGCUAACUACGUGCCAGCAGCCGCGGUAA